AAGUGCCUUCGGGAACUGUGAGACAGGUGCUGCAUGGCUGUCGUCAGCUCGUGUUGUGAAAUGUUGGGUUAAGUCCCGCAACGAGCGCAACCCUUAUCCUUUGUUGCCAGCACGUAAUGGUGGGAACUCAAGGGAGACUGCCGGUGACAAACCGGAGGAAGGUGGGGAUGACGUCAAGUCAUCAUGGCCCUUACGAGUAGGGCUACACACGUGCUACAAUGGCAGAUACAAAGUGAAGCGAACUCGCGAGAGCCAGCGGACCACAUAAAGUCUGUCGUAGUCCGGAUUGGAGUCUGCAACUCGACUCCAUGAAGUCGGAAUCGCUAGUAAUCGUAGAUCAGAAUGCUACGGUGAAUACGUUCCCGGGCCUUGUACACACCGCCCGUCACACCAUGGGAGUGGGUUGCAAAAGAAGUAGGUAGCUUAACCUUCGGGAGGGCGCUUACCACUUUGUGAUUCAUGACUGGGGUGAAGUCGUAACAAGGUAACCGUAGGGGAACCUGCGGUUGGAUCACCUCCUUACCU
Molecule: ribosomal RNA, 525 nt
Filed under: Yersinia pseudotuberculosis
Lineage: Bacteria; Pseudomonadati; Pseudomonadota; Gammaproteobacteria; Enterobacterales; Yersiniaceae
Description: bacterial SSU rRNA
Rfam family: Bacterial small subunit ribosomal RNA
Source: RNAcentral